Molecule: ribosomal RNA, 433 nt
Filed under: uncultured bacterium
Lineage: Bacteria
Description: partial 16S ribosomal RNA
Rfam family: Bacterial small subunit ribosomal RNA
Source: RNAcentral
AGCGAACGCUGGCGGCAGGCCUAACACAUGCAAGUCGAACGAACUCUUCGGAGUUAGUGGCGGACGGGUGAGUAACACGUGGGAACGUGCCUUUAGGUUCGGAAUAACUCAGGGAAACUUGUGCUAAUACCGAAUGUGCCCUUCGGGGGAAAGAUUUAUCGCCUUUAGAGCGGCCCGCGUCUGAUUAGCUAGUUGGUGAGGUAAAGGCUCACCAAGGCGACGAUCAGUAGCUGGUCUGAGAGGAUGAUCAGCCACAUUGGGACUGAGACACGGCCCAAACUCCUACGGGAGGCAGCAGUGGGGAAUCUUGCGCAAGGGGCGAAAGCCUGACGCAGCCAUGCCGCGUGAAUGAUGAAGGUCUUAGGAUUGUAAAAUUCUUUAACCGGGGACGAUAAUGACGGUACCCGGAGAAGAAGCCCCGGCUAACUUCGUG